Non-coding RNA from Paramuricea clavata, 435 nucleotides. Lineage: Eukaryota; Metazoa; Cnidaria; Anthozoa; Malacalcyonacea; Plexauridae. The record is from the annotation of a GenBank genome assembly.
UUAUAAGCUUAAAUUUGUAUUAGUUUACCCCAUUUAUCUAGAAUCUGACAUUAUCUGACUCCAUUUUCUUUGUUAUACUACUGAGUUUUUUAAGUUUUUAGGGUAAACUACUAGAAAUUUAAAGCCCUGACGGGCUUGUUAGUCUUCCUUCCAUAUAUCUUUAUAUUUAUAAAAACUGUAAAUGUGUACGGGAAAAAUAAAAUAUCUAUCUACUAUACGUUCUGAAAGAACUUUUACCCGGGCUUUAAUUAGCCUUUCUCACGCCGCCAUUUUUGGGUGGCUUUUCAGACGAAGUCUGCGAGAUAAGUCCAUAUAACAGCGACUUUUUAUAAUUUCUUUGACAAAUGAUGGUAAAUUUGCUUUGUGAAUGGUUAGUUUAUUUUGAAAAAGUGCUUUUCACAUUGUUUUAAUUGUCUGCAUUGGUUAACGAGAAUU